RNAcentral lists this ribosomal RNA (1439 nucleotides) under uncultured organism. Its description in RNAcentral is "SSU rRNA". It matches the Rfam family "Bacterial small subunit ribosomal RNA". The record is from RNAcentral.
CUACAGGCUUAACACAUGCAAGUCGAGGGGCAGCAUUUCAGUUUGCUUGCAAACUGGAGAUGGCGACCGGCGCACGGGUGAGUAACACGUAUCCAACCUGCCGAUAACUCGGGGAUAGCCUUUCGAAAGAAAGAUUAAUACCCGAUGGCAUAAUUAGACCGCAUGGUCUUAUUAUUAAAGAAUUUCGGUUAUCGAUGGGGAUGCGUUCCAUUAGGCAGUUGGUGAGGUAACGGCUCACCAAACCUUCGAUGGAUAGGGGUUCUGAGAGGAAGGUCCCCCACAUUGGAACUGAGACACGGUCCAAACUCCUACGGGAGGCAGCAGUGAGGAAUAUUGGUCAAUGGACGAGAGUCUGAACCAGCCAAGUAGCGUGAAGGAUGACUGCCCUAUGGGUUGUAAACUUCUUUUAUAUGGGAAUAAAGUUUUCCACGUGUGGAAUUUUGUAUGUACCAUAUGAAUAAGGAUCGGCUAACUCCGUGCCAGCAGCCGCGGUAAUACGGAGGAUCCGAGCGUUAUCCGGAUUUAUUGGGUUUAAAGGGAGCGUAGGUGGACAGUUAAGUCAGUUGUGAAAGUUUGCGGCUCAACCGUAAAAUUGCAGUUGAUACUGGCUGUCUUGAGUACAGUAGAGGUGGGCGGAAUUCGUGGUGUAGCGGUGAAAUGCUUAGAUAUCACGAAGAACUCCGAUUGCGAAGGCAGCUCACUGGACUGCAACUGACACUGAUGCUCGAAAGUGUGGGUAUCAAACAGGAUUAGAUACCCUGGUAGUCCACACAGUAAACGAUGAAUACUCGCUGUUUGCGAUAUACAGUAAGCGGCCAAGCGAAAGCAUUAAGUAUUCCACCUGGGGAGUACGCCGGCAACGGUGAAGCUCAAAGGAAUUGACGGGGGCCCGCACAAGCGGAGGAACAUGUGGUUUAAUUCGAUGAUACGCGAGGAACCUUACCCGGGCUUAAAUUGCAUUUGAAUAAUCUGGAAACAGGUUAGCCGCAAGGCAAAUGUGAAGGUGCUGCAUGGUUGUCGUCAGCUCGUGCCGUGAGGUGUCGGCUUAAGUGCCAUAACGAGCGCAACCCUUAUCUUUAGUUACUAACAGGUCAUGCUGAGGACUCUAGAGAGACUGCCGUCGUAAGAUGUGAGGAAGGUGGGGAUGACGUCAAAUCAGCACGGCCCUUACGUCCGGGGCUACACACGUGUUACAAUGGGGGGUACAGAAGGCAGCUACCUGGUGACAGGAUGCUAAUCCCAAAAGCCUCUCUCAGUUCGGAUCGAAGUCUGCAACCCGACUUCGUGAAGCUGGAUUCGCUAGUAAUCGCGCAUCAGCCAUGGCGCGGUGAAUACGUUCCCGGGCCUUGUACACACCGCCCGUCAAGCCAUGAAAGCCGGGGGUACCUGAAGUACGUAACCGCAAGGAGCGUCCUAGGGUAAAACUGGUAAUUGGGGCU